UACAGAGGGUGCAAGCGUUGUUCGGAAUUAUUGGGCGUAAAGCGCGUGUAGGCGGUGAUGUAUGUCGGGUGUGAAAGCCCUCAGCUUAACUGAGGAAGUGCGCCCGAAACUACAUCGCUAGAGUGCCGGAGAGGGUGGCGGAAUUCCCGGUGUAGAGGUGAAAUUCGUAGAUAUCGGGAGGAACACCAGUGGCGAAGGCGGCCACCUGGACGGACACUGACGCUGAGACGCGAAAGCGUGGGUAGCAAACAGGAUUAGAAACCCUCGUAGUCC
Molecule: ribosomal RNA, 273 nt
Filed under: uncultured bacterium
Lineage: Bacteria
Description: partial 16S ribosomal RNA
Rfam family: Bacterial small subunit ribosomal RNA
Source: RNAcentral